UGGGACGCCUGAAAGUUGGCAUACAUCAUGAAGCAAUGGAGAGUUAGGACGGUGGCUACAUUCUAUUAUCCCGAAGGUAUUAACGAAACUUUGGUUUAAAGGAUUAGAUGUGGGUCGGGAUUUCAUUAGUGUGAUGUCUCGGCUCAUGUCCCAUCAUUACACGUUAGACACUUAUCUUCGACGUAUUGGAUUCGCGAAUGGCGGUGCCAGCGCUUGUUACGGCGGUUAUCACGAUAUCGAAUAUGUUGUCUGGGCAUGCUCCGUGUAUUGUUCUACUGGAUCUCAAUUAGUAAAUUCCUUUCAUACCCGUGGAAGUCCCGGUUCGCACGUACUGGCAAGCCGCGAUCCUCUGUCUCUCAUGUACGCAUUCUUUAACAUCACCAAUUUACAGAUUUAUCUGCUCUUUUUCUUUUUUCUUAUCAUUCUUAGAAGUGCCUCCGUCUGUACUGUACGCCUUCGACGGUUUGAUGCGACUUCAUUUUGGGACGAAACUGUCUGUCGAGUGAGUUAACAAACACGGAACCUACAUCACGAACAUCACACACCCAGCUCGUUUAAUUGGACGUCGGUAAGUACCAGAGAUUACAGAGAGAAGAAAAAUAUUAACAUUCCAGCAAACGGGAGAUCAACGGCAUCGAUUACAGACUCGGACUACCUUCAUCAGAAAACAUCAUGUAAAGAGAUGCCCGGUGUCCUCCUCUAAACGGCAGUAGUUGCUCCAGACGAUUGCGUGGUGCGCCUUUUUCGGAGCUCUGACGGAUUUCUGGCAGAAUUCUCUCUCAAAAUCAAAAACCGAUUUAGAGUCCUGGUAGUUAAAGACAAAUGAAGAUAUUUAUUUAUGAAAUGUGAAGAGAUUUGAAAAACACACCUGGUAUGCUUGGUUUGAAGUUACAGAAAUCUAGAGUUCUGCAAACUGU
Topomyia yanbarensis is the source of this 917-nucleotide long non-coding RNA. RefSeq lists it as uncharacterized. The transcript is spliced from 2 exons. NCBI's taxonomy places the organism in Eukaryota, Metazoa, Arthropoda, Insecta, Diptera, Culicidae. The record is from RefSeq and is a predicted model, not a curated record.